Molecule: long non-coding RNA, 925 nt
Organism: Oreochromis niloticus (Nile tilapia)
Lineage: Eukaryota; Metazoa; Chordata; Actinopteri; Cichliformes; Cichlidae
Exons: 3
Source: RefSeq, a predicted model, not a curated record
GGUGGCAGCUCUACGCUUCCGUAGAAUCCCACCAUGUUGAUCAAAGUGUCUAUAUGCAUGUGUAUCUUCUGUAACUCGUCUUAGAUGUGUGAAUAAAUCUCAAUCAAAUGUACUAAAUAAAUUUCCUAGACCAGGAUUAUCAAGCUCUAUAUAACAUUCACACUCUUAGUAACUAAUCUCAAAAUGAAUGGCGACAUGUACGUUACAUGUACAUUGUUGUGCAGUGGGACUUUGGGAUCACUGGAAUGUGUGGUCACAUAUUUAAAGACAUGACACAGCAAAGCUAAAAGUGCCUGUAAUUAUUAUUUUGUUGUAUAAAAUAAAUAUCUAGCUUGCAAAUGUAACGAUGUAAAAGAAUGAAUAUGGUUUUGUUGUUAUUAAAUUCCUGUUAAACUUGGGAUUGCAACCACGGGUUUAUCUUGAAACUUUUAUUUUGAAAAUCCACAGCGGAAGUCUGCUACUGGUAAACUGGUUUUCCCUAAGCUUAUCCCGUUAGUAGCAAGGAAGCUUUUGCUGUGUUUGGGCGGAAUGCUGUUGCCUGAAACCCAUGGUUAUUCAUAUCCCAUGUUAUUGCAGAGACCCACAAGAGGGGAAUAAACCACGUCUGAGCUCUACCCAUCUCGAGUCCAGAGAGUUUUACUCUUACAGCACCGGAGAUAGAGACUGAGCGGAGUUACACAAAGAAAAAAAGAAAAAAAUGUAUUCAUGAUUUAUGUGUUUGGUGUUUAUGGCGUGUGACUUUAUAAAGUGAUAUAAAGAAUAUAAAAAAAGAACAACAUGAUAAAACAGACUUCUGUGUUUUAAACAUAAAUGAGACGAACAUGUGCUGCAGGCCUGGCAACAGCUGCCCGUAGGUUGGGUUUUUGCUAGUUAUCUAUCGAAUACUGUCUCUACCACAAAAAUAACAUACAUACAACAAGGUGAC